UACACCGGCGUACGGGUGCGUAACGCGUAUGGAACCUGCCCUUAUCUGGGGGAUAACUCGGGGAAACUCGAGCUAAUACCGCAUAAGAUAGUAGAAUGGCAUCAUUCAGCUAUUAAAGAUUUAUUGGAUAAGGAUGGCCAUGCGUAAGAUUAGAUAGUUGGCGAGGUAACGGCUCACCAAGUCUACGAUCUUUAGGGGCUCUGAGAGGAGAAUCCCCCACACUGGCACUGAGAUACGGGCCAGACUCCUACGGGAGGCAGCAGUAGGGAAUAUUGGGCAAUGGGCGGAAGCCUGACCCAGCCACGCCGCGUGCAGGAAGACGGCCCUCUGGGUUGUAAACUGCUUUUAACUGGGAAGAAAAGAGGCCUUGCGAGGCAAGUUGACGGUACCAGUUGAAUAAGCCACGGCUAACUACGUGCCAGCAGCCGCGGUAAUACGUAGGUGGCAAGCGUUAUCCGGAUUUAUUGGGUUUAAAGGGAGCGUAGGCGGCUGAUUAAGUCAGCGGUGAA
RNAcentral lists this ribosomal RNA (509 nucleotides) under uncultured bacterium. RNAcentral's name for it is "bacterial SSU rRNA". It matches the Rfam family "Bacterial small subunit ribosomal RNA", at positions 91 to 598 of the family's 1533-position model. The record is from RNAcentral.